GCAGGACUACUCCCGUGGAUUCAGUUGGUCAGCCGGUCGACGCCGAAUCUGAACGCUCCACUGGUGUCCGCUCUUGCUGAUCGGUGGAGGCCGGAGACGCACAGUUUCCAUCUUCGGACUGGGGAGAUGACCGUGACGCUCGAGGAUGUCUCGUUGAUCACCGAUCUUGCUAUCGACGGGAUGCCUCUCUGUAUGAGCACCGAUUCUGAUGGGUGGCGCGAGCAGAUGAUUGCUCUUAUCGGUAUGGCUCCUACCGAGGCUGAGGCUGAUGUAGAGGAGGGAGAAGAGCCGAAGAAGAAGGAAAGGAAAGCAGCCGGAGCUACUUUCACGUGGAUUCAAGCAAACUUUGCGCAUUGCCCUGCGGAUGCCACUGAUGAUGUGAUACAGACACAUGCUCGUGUCUAUAUAUGGUACGUUGUCUCGAGGACUUUGUUUCCUGACUCCACGGGCAAGAAC
RNAcentral lists this ribosomal RNA (456 nucleotides) under Triticum aestivum (bread wheat). Its description in RNAcentral is "partial small subunit ribosomal RNA". The record is from RNAcentral. Lineage: Eukaryota; Viridiplantae; Streptophyta; Magnoliopsida; Poales; Poaceae.